RNAcentral lists this ribosomal RNA (253 nucleotides) under uncultured bacterium. RNAcentral describes it as "partial 16S ribosomal RNA". It matches the Rfam family "Bacterial small subunit ribosomal RNA", at positions 524 to 776 of the family's 1533-position model. The record is from RNAcentral.
UACGAGGGGGGCGAGCGUUGUUCGGAAUUAUUGGGCGUAAAGGGUGCGUAGGCGGCCUGACAAGUCUGAUGUGAAAUCCCUGGGCUCAACCCAGGGCCUGCAUCGGAAACUGUCGGGCUUGAGUAUGGGAGAGGUGAGUGGAAUUUCCGGUGUAGCGGUGAAAUGCGUAGAUAUCGGAAGGAACACCUGUGGCGAAAGCGGCUCACUGGACCAUUACUGACGCUGAGGCACGAAAGCGUGGGGAGCGAACAGG